GGGGAUGACCGGUUUUGACAGCAGGUAGAGUUCGAUUGUAAGCACGUCGAGCGCUGUGCGGCAGCUCGUAAAUCCCGACGCUCAACGUACAAAUGGCAACAACAGCUAUGCACUCGCUGCCUAAUUUUCAGAGAAAAUUGGCUUAAUCGCCGGGCCCAAGGAGGUUCGGCGACGAGUAUCCCGAAGGGUAGUUCCGCUCUUUAACCGCUCUUCAUACGGGGUAUCGUUCAUUUAGAGAUAGUACGGUGCAACGCCUCGGGCGCCGUGCGAAACAAAGAGGCUGGGACUUGGGUUAGGCCGCCGCCUGCCGGGCUCAAGUAGAAGGACGAAACGGUCGGCUAAACGUGUAGAAAGCAGUUGGGUUCCUUGUUUGGACGCGGGUUCGACUCCCGCCAUCUCCACCA
Molecule: transfer-messenger RNA, 404 nt
Filed under: Alistipes communis
Lineage: Bacteria; Pseudomonadati; Bacteroidota; Bacteroidia; Bacteroidales; Rikenellaceae
Description: Standard tmRNA
Rfam family: transfer-messenger RNA
About the family: Bacterial tmRNA, also known as 10Sa RNA or SsrA, is named for its dual tRNA and mRNA-like properties. Its role is to liberate the mRNA from a stalled ribosome. To accomplish this part of the tmRNA is used as a reading frame that ends in a translation stop signal.
Source: Rfam by way of RNAcentral